This 2256-nucleotide ribosomal RNA is filed under the name human gut metagenome. RNAcentral's name for it is "bacterial LSU rRNA". It matches the Rfam family "Bacterial large subunit ribosomal RNA", at positions 175 to 2426 of the family's 2925-position model. The record is from RNAcentral.
GAAGGCACACCCGGUGAACUGAAACAUCUAAGUAGCCGGAGGAAGAGUAAUCAAACGAGAUUCCCUCAGUAGCGGCGAGCGAACAGGGAAGAGCCCAAACCGGACGUCUUCGGACGACCGGGGUUGAGGACCAGCAUCAAGGGAAGGCAAGAUAGCCGAACAGUCUGGGAAGGCUGAGCACAGACGGUGAAACUCCGGUAGGCGAAAUCUUACCCAACGGGCUGGUAUCCAGAGUACCACGAGACACGUGAAACCUUGUGGGAAGCAGGGUGGACCACCAUCCAAGGCAAAAUACUACGGAACGACCGAUAGCGCAUAGUACCGUGAGGGAAAGGUGAAAAGAACCGCGGGAGCGGAGUGAAAUAGAACCUGAAACCGUAUGUCUACAAGCAGUCGAAGCACUUUAUAUGUGCGACGGCGUGCCUAUUGAAGAAUGAACCGGCGAGUUAAUUUCAGAGGCGAGGUUAAGCGGGAGACGCGGAGCCGAAGCGAGAGCGAGUCUGAAUAGGGCGCAAGUCUCUGGGAUUAGACCCGAAACCACAGUGAUCUAUGCAUGGCCAGGUUGAAGCUCAGGUAAAAAUGAGUGGAGGACCGAACCCGUGAGUGUUGAAAAACUUUGGGAUGAGCUGUGCAUAGGGGUGAAAUGCCAAUCGAACGUGGAGAUAGCUGGUUCUCCCCGAAAUAGCUUUAGGGCUAGCCUCAGGUAACACAUGGAGACGGUAGAGCACUGAUCGGGUAAGGGAGCGUAAAGCUUACCGAGCCUAGUCAAACUGCGAAUGGCUUCAUGAGAAGAGCCUGGGAGUCAGAAUGCGAGUGAUAAGACCCGUAUUCAAAAGGGAAACAGCCCAGAUCGCCGACUAAGGUCCCGAAUGCUGUACUAAGUGGAAAAGGAUGUAGGACUUCCAAAACAACCAGGAUGUUGGCUCAGAAGCAGCCACCAUUCAAAGAGUGCGUAAUAGCUCACUGGUCGAGAGGCCCUGCGCCGAAAAUAUCCGGGGCUCAAGUACAGAACCGAAGUCGCGGGAUGCGCAAGCAUCGGUAGGGGAGCGUUCCAAGCAGGUUGAAGGCAGACCGGAAGGACGGCUGGACAGCUUGGAAGUGAGAAUGCUGGUAUGAGUAGCGAAACGAUCCGUGAGAAUCGGAUCCACCGAAAGCCUAAGGGAUCCUGAGCAACGCUCGUCGUCUCAGGGUAAGUCGGGACCUAAGCCGAGGCAUAAAGCAUAGGCGAUGGACAACAGGCGAAAAUUCCUGUACUGCAUGAUGUUGUUUGAGGAUGGAGUGACACAGCAAGGAGCUUGAGCGCGCGAUUGGAAAUGCGCGUCGAAGGCGGUAGGCUGGUAUAGAGGCAAAUCCCUGUACUAAGGCCGAGAACUGAUAGAUAGGAGCGUACUUCGGUACAAUCCAAAUUCAAGCGUACUACACUGUCGAGAAAAGCUUCUAACGAGACAUCAUGUACCCGUACCAUAAACCGACACAGGUAGGCGGGGAGAGAAUCCUAAGGUGCGCGGGAAAACCCUCGUUAAGGAACUCGGCAAAAUGCAUCCGUAACUUCGGGAGAAGGAUGGCCGGAGCUGGUGAAGACCCUUGCGGUUGGAGCUGGAGCCGGCGGCAGAAGAGAAGCCCAAGCGACUGUUUACCACAAACACAGGUGCCUGCUAAAGAGAAAUCUGACGUAUAGGUGCUGACACCUGCCCGGUGCUGGAAGGUUAAGAGGAGAGGUCAUUCGCAAGAAGAAGCUUUGAAUUGAAGCCCCAGUAAACGGCGGCCGUAACUAUAACGGUCCUAAGGUAGCGAAAUUCCUUGUCGGGUAAGUUCCGACCCGCACGAAAGGUGUAACGACUUGGGCACUGUCUCAACGAGGGACCCGGUGAAAUUGAAAUACCUGUGAAGAUGCAGGUUACCCGCGACUGGACAGAAAGACCCCAUGGAGCUUUACUGCAGCCUGACAUUGAUUUUUGGCAUGUAACGUACAGGAUAGUUGGGAGACGGAGAAGAUAGGCCCCCAGGCUUAUCGGAGUCGCUGUUGGGAUACCAACCUUUAUGUGCUAGGGAUCUAACUCGAGAAGUAACGAAGCUGAGGACAGUAUCAGGUGGGCAGUUUGACUGGGGCGGUCGCCUCCGAAAGAGUAACGGAGGCGUCCAAAGGUUCCCUCAGCGCGGACAGAAAUCGCGCGAAGAGUAUAAAGGCAGAAGGGAGCUUGACUGCGAGACAUACAGGUCGAGCAGGUACGAAAGUAGGGCUUAGUGAUCCGGUGG